AGGAGUCGUUGACCCAGCCAUACAGAGGCGGGUCUGAGGCUUGGCGACGCCGCCCGGGGUGCCCCGCACCAGGGCCGGUAUAAGAACCGCCUGCCCGCUCCCGGCCCCGCUCCGCCCACAGGCCCGGAUGGCGGCAGCCACGCUGAGGGACCCGGCUCAGAUACAAGCAGAGGGUUCAAUGCCUUCUCAGCAGUAACUCUCUUCCUGUGAAGCCAGAGCCAUAGGCACCAUCCUGAUCCUGAGGUCUGCACCGCCCA
RNAcentral lists this long non-coding RNA (257 nucleotides) under Ursus americanus (American black bear). Its description in RNAcentral is "lncRNA (ENSUAMG00000007683.1)". Lineage: Eukaryota; Metazoa; Chordata; Mammalia; Carnivora; Ursidae. The record is from RNAcentral.